UGGGGCGUGGCCAAGUGGUAAGGCAGCGGGUUUUGGUUCCGCCAUUCAGAGGUUCGAAUCCUUUCGCCCCAG
RNAcentral lists this transfer RNA (72 nucleotides) under Pedinomonas tuberculata. RNAcentral describes it as "tRNA-Gln". It matches the Rfam family "tRNA". From Rfam's summary of the family: Transfer RNA (tRNA) molecules are approximately 80 nucleotides in length. The record is from RNAcentral. Lineage: Eukaryota; Viridiplantae; Chlorophyta; Pedinophyceae; Pedinomonadales; Pedinomonadaceae.